UGGGGAAUAUUGCACAAUGGAGGAAACUCUGAUGCAGCGACGCCGCGUGAGUGAAGAAGUAUUUCGGUAUGUAAAGCUCUAUCAGCAGGGAAGAAAAUGACGGUACCUGACUAAGAAGCACCGGCUAAAUACGUGCCAGCAGCCGCGGUAAUACGUAUGGUGCAAGCGUUAUCCGGAUUUACUGGGUGUAAAGGGAGCGUAGGUGGCAAGGCAAGCCAGAAGUGAAAACCCGGGGCUCAACCGCGGGAUUGCUUUUGGAACUGUCAUGCUAGAGUGCAGGAGGGGUGAGCGGAAUUCCUAGUGUAGCGGUGAAAUGCGUAGAUAUUAGGAGGAACACCGGAGGCGAAGGCGGCUCACUGGACUGUAACUGACACUGAGGCUCGAAAGCGUGGGGAGCAAACA
RNAcentral lists this ribosomal RNA (402 nucleotides) under uncultured bacterium. Its description in RNAcentral is "bacterial SSU rRNA". It matches the Rfam family "Bacterial small subunit ribosomal RNA", at positions 355 to 774 of the family's 1533-position model. RNAcentral also lists the same sequence under 1 other name. The record is from RNAcentral.